GUACAGCUGACGAGUCCCAAACAGGACGAAAUGCGCUUUGUCCCGGAU
This 48-nucleotide non-coding RNA is filed under the name Trichobilharzia regenti. Lineage: Eukaryota; Metazoa; Platyhelminthes; Trematoda; Strigeidida; Schistosomatidae. The record is from RNAcentral.